GCCUGUGAGUCAUAGUGGUUCGAGCAUUGGAUUAUGACUCUAGAGACCAGGGUUCGAUUCCCAGUGUGGCCA
This is a non-coding RNA of Phrynosoma platyrhinos (Desert horned lizard), 72 nucleotides long. Lineage: Eukaryota; Metazoa; Chordata; Lepidosauria; Squamata; Phrynosomatidae. The record is from the annotation of a GenBank genome assembly.